GGCUUGACAUAUACCGGAAACGUUCAGAAAUGUUCGCCCCGCAAGGUCGGUAUACAGGUGGUGCAUGGUUGUCGUCAGCUCGUGUCGUGAGAUGUUGGGUUAAGUCCCGCAACGAGCGCAACCCUCGUCGUAUGUUGCCAGCACGUAAUGGUGGGAACUCAUAUGAGACUGCCGGGGUCAACUCGGAGGAAGGUGGGGAUGACGUCAAAUCAUCAUGCCCCUUAUGUCUUGGGCUUCACGCAUGCUACAAUGGCUGGUACAAUGGGCUGCAAUACCGCGAGGUGGAGCGAAUCCCAAAAAGCCAGUCUCAGUUCGGAUUGGGGUCUGCAACUCGACCCCAUGAAGUCGGAGUCGCUAGUAAUCGCAGAUCAGCAACGCUACGGUGAAUACGUUCCCGGG
Molecule: ribosomal RNA, 399 nt
Filed under: Pseudoclavibacter sp. AZTITEMP162
Lineage: Bacteria; Bacillati; Actinomycetota; Actinomycetes; Micrococcales; Microbacteriaceae
Description: bacterial SSU rRNA
Rfam family: Bacterial small subunit ribosomal RNA
Source: RNAcentral